Molecule: long non-coding RNA, 712 nt
Filed under: Olea europaea subsp. europaea
Lineage: Eukaryota; Viridiplantae; Streptophyta; Magnoliopsida; Lamiales; Oleaceae
Source: RNAcentral
GAACAUGGUGAAAUUCAGGAGAAAAAAUGAGAAAAAGGACUAAAGUGACGCAAAGUGAAAGUUCAAGAACCAAAAGUGCAAAUAUCCCAAAGUUGAUCUGAUGAAAAAAUUGAGAAAUCAAUUGGGCCAAUUACCAAAUUGACGAUAUCGUGGGGGUGAUGAAAUGAAAAGAAUGAAGAGAAGAUGCUAAGAAGUGAAGGAUGCAAUUUGGAGGACCAAAACGCAAUUUCUUCAUAGUUGAUAGUACUAUGCGACCGCAUAGUAUUAUCCUCUAUGCGAUCACAUAGUACCAUACUGAAACAAAAAAGGCUUGAAAAAUUCCUUCUAUGCGACCGCAUAGAAUUACUCUAUGUGGUCGCAUAGAACAAAAAUCUGAAAAAAUUUUAGUUUCCUUUUUCUUCCGAAACUCUUAUGGAAACAAAAUUUUAGGGUCCUAUAAAUACAAAAACUCGACCAGAACAAAGGACGCCUUUUUACAUGUUUUUGGGGGAUUUUGAAGAAGAAACAAGGGAGAAAACAAGAGAUAAACAUCGCGCCAAUUGAAGAUCGGAGUGAAUAUUGAUUUGGGUGAUGUCGUUUCUUCAAAUACUUUUGAGUUUUGUUCUUUUUAGCAUGUUAGGCUAAAUUUAUUACUACUAGGAGAUGAUGAACCUUGUAAUGCCACGUUUAAUUGUUGUUUUGGAUUUUUGACGUAUGUAAAUACCAAUUCCGG